RNAcentral lists this ribosomal RNA (492 nucleotides) under uncultured bacterium. RNAcentral's name for it is "partial 16S ribosomal RNA". It matches the Rfam family "Bacterial small subunit ribosomal RNA", at positions 29 to 507 of the family's 1533-position model. The record is from RNAcentral.
AGUGAACGCUGGCGGUAGGCCUAACACAUGCAAGUCGAACGGCAGCACAGUAAGAGCUUGCUCUUACGGGUGGCGAGUGGCGGACGGGUGAGGAAUAGAUCGGAAUCUACUUUUUCGUGGGGGAUAACGUAGGGAAACUUACGCUAAUACCGCAUAUGACCUACGGGUGAAAGCAGGGGAUCUUCGGACCUUGCGCGAUUGAAUGAGCCGAUGUCGGAUUAGCUAGUUGGCGGGGUAAAGGCCCACCAAGGCGACGAUCCGUAGCUGGUCUGAGAGGAUGAUCGGCCACACUGGAACUGAGACACGGUCCAGACUCCUACGGGAGGCAGCAGUGGGGAAUAUUGGACAAUGGGCGCAAGCCUGAUCCAGCCAUACCGCGUGGGUGAAGAAGGCCUUCGGGUUGUAAAGCCCUUUUGUUGGGAAAGAAAAGCAGCAGGUUAAUACCCCGCUGUUCUGACGGUACCCAAAGAAUAAGCACCGGCUAACUUCGUG